GAUGAACGCUGGCGGCGUGCCUAAUACAUGCAAGUCGAGCGAACGGACGAGAAGCUUGCUUCUCGGAUGUUAGCGGCGGACGGGUGAGUAACACGUGGAUAACCUACCUAUAAGACGGGGAUAACUUCGGGAAACCGUAGCUAAGACCGGAUAAUAUUUUGAACCGCAGGGUUCAAAAGUGAAAGACGGUCUUGCUGUCACUUAUAGAUGGAUGCGCGCUGCUGUAGCUAGUUGGUAAGGUAACGGCUUACGAAGGCAACGAUGCAUAGCCGACCUGAGAGCGUGGUCCGACACACUGGAACUGAGACACGGUCCCGACUCCUACGGGAGGCCGCAGUCGAGACUCUUCCGCGAUGGGCGAAAGCCUGACGUAGCAACGCCGCGUGAGUGAUGAAGGUCUUCGGAUCGUAAAACUCUGUUGUUAGGGAAGAACAAAUGUGUAAGUAACUGUGCACAUCUUGACGGUACCUAAUCAAAAAGCCCCGGCUAACUACGUG
Molecule: ribosomal RNA, 497 nt
Filed under: uncultured bacterium
Lineage: Bacteria
Description: partial 16S ribosomal RNA
Rfam family: Bacterial small subunit ribosomal RNA
Source: RNAcentral